CAUCAAACACACCCCACAUUUGCUCAACUAGCAGGAAACGAGGAUUGAAACAUCGUGUCCCCUUGUCGGAUGAGCAAUCCAAAGCACUGUCCAUCUCCGUGGGAAUCUGGCACGCAGCAGUCCUAGGAUAUCCACGGAGGAGUUAACAGCGUAAUCGCUUGUUGAAUACCCCAAAAAAAAUUCUCUCAUCACUAAAUGGCAUUCAUGCAGCUUCUCAACUAGGUAUUCAGCUCUGUAUUGCGGUCUUGGGAGUCCUAUCCGUCUACAGGAUCUCCAUCAGCAACAACAAAGAUCUUCACAUGGAAAAUACAGAAAACAUGAACGAUAAACAGGGGGAAUAAUUUUGAGAAUGUCAUUGUGCGUAAAUACGACGCAGGAAAAGAUACCAUUGAUUCUUUUAUUUUGGAUUACAGUACAGUUAUCGCUCUAUCCUUUAUGAACUAAUCAGGGAGUGCCUUGACAAAUUCCUUCUCGUUGCAGGCCUCCAAACCUCAAUACUCCAUAUCACCUGCAUUUCUUAGUAUCGAUCCGACCACAACAAGCACAGCCUUGAUAUCUGGAUGGGAGACUUCAUGCUGAGCAGCCAGCCAUACAUCGCGCAAUGUGAUGGCCUGUCUCAGCAACCGAGGCGUAGAACGACAUCGGACUUUUUCAUCCCAUAAAAACAACCGCAUGGGAUUUGAUUAAAGCGUGCCAUCAAGUGGACCCUACCCCAGAAUCAAUCCUGGAGGGCGCCUAGAUUGUUUGAAUAUGACAUACCGAGCGGGGCUACUGUUAGACAGAUACCAGG
This 790-nucleotide small RNA is filed under the name Histoplasma capsulatum. Its description in RNAcentral is "hypothetical RNA". The record is from RNAcentral. RNAcentral also lists the same sequence under 1 other name. Lineage: Eukaryota; Fungi; Ascomycota; Eurotiomycetes; Onygenales; Ajellomycetaceae.